Molecule: ribosomal RNA, 652 nt
Filed under: uncultured bacterium
Lineage: Bacteria
Description: bacterial SSU rRNA
Rfam family: Bacterial small subunit ribosomal RNA
Source: RNAcentral
CGUGCCAGCAGCCGCGGUAAUACGAGUGGUCCAAGCGUUAUCCGGAAUUAUUGGGCGUAAAGGGUGCGAAGAUGGAAUUGUUAGUCGGGUGUUUAACCCACAGGCUCAACCUGUGGAUUGCAUUCGGAACGUCAAUUCUUGAGGUUGUUAGAGGUUAGCGGAACUAAUAGUGUAGGGGUGAAAUCCGUUGAUAUUAUUGGGAACACCAAAAGCGAAGGCAGCUAACUAGAACACACCUGACAUUAUAGCACGAAAGCGUGGGUAGCGAAUGGGAUUAGAUACCCCAGUAGUCCACGCCCUAAACGAUGCAGACUCGCUAUUUGAAGUAUCGACCCUUCAAGUGGCUAAGCUAACGCGGUAAGUCUGCCGCCUGGGAAGUACGGUCGCAAGGCUAAAACUCAAAGGAAUAGACGGGGAGACGCACAAGCAGUGGAUUAUGUGGUUUAAUUCGACAGUAAACGAAGAACCUCACCAAGAUUUGAAACUAGAAUGUAAGGCCUAGAAAUAGGUCCCCCGCAAGGCUAUCUAGCAGGUGAUGCAUGGCCGUCGUCAGUUCGUGGUUUGAACUGUUCCCUUCAGUGGGGUAACGAACGCAACCCUCGUCGUGUGUUAUACGUGUCACACGAGACUGCCCCCUUUCGGGGGAGGAAGG